UCGCACGGCAGGACCGAACGAGGCUACGGCGUUGGGCGUGGGGCUAGCCUGUGACUCUCUGCCCAGGUGUACGUCACUGUCACCUGUGGAACUUCUUGAACAACACCUGUUGCCCGGGCUCCUCCCAGGACCGAUUAAAUCAAGAUCUCUGGAGCGGAGUCCAGGUAUCAUAUUUUUCAGGCUCUCUAGAGGAGUCUCAAAUGGAGCCAGGGCUGGCACCUUCUGGAAAGCCAGAGGGAGGAAGAGGCACAAAGAAGGAAGUGGCUGCUCCACGAGUUAGCUGGAAAACGCUUGUAUUACGGCCAUGGGGAGGGGACAGCAGAGUGUGGGGAGCUGCUCCCCCUCGCACAGCUGGUUAGCACCAGGGCCGGGACUACCACUGGGCUCCGGAUGCGUUGCUCUUUUCCACUGAAGGUUGAACACUGAAUCCGGUGAAGUAUUAGGGGUGGUGGGGAUUCCGCGAUAGCUUACAUGGCAUUUCUGAAAAUCUUCAAUGUGUUUAAAAAUGAAAAUAAUGUGGACUUCUCACCUUACCUCCUUGUUAAUGUUUGGCUGGAGGGUGGGAUGGCUUGAGCGUUAUUAGAAUUGACACGAACCACAGAUGCCACUACAUUGAAAAAAACAAGGUGGGGGCGGGGGGGUUGCUGUCCUCUGCCCAAUUGCACGGUCUGCUUCCCUGUGAGGCUUUGUCCCAGGGGCUUGACGCCAAACCAGAAAACUCUGGGGAACAGCAUUGCUGCAAAGAGCCCAGUCUCGCUCCAGGCAGAUAAACCAGAUGAUUUGGUUACGGCUUCAUCGGCCCGACUCAGUCCUGCAUGGCUGCUUUCCUUAAGAAAUCGAGAGUAAAACUGAAUUUUAAAAAAUAAUGAAAACCACUCUAUAUCUCUCCUAUGGAUCUGAAGUCAAAGAAGGGUGGAGCUGAGUUUCUGUGUUCAGAGGGCUUUUCCAGGGAAGUGACAGGUGGGGUGUAGACCUAACGUGGAAUCCUGGAAAUGGGCUGGCUGCAAGUAUUCACCUUCGAAUCAAUUGCAAAUGCCUUUCUGGCUGCCCACCACCUCCGACUGCAGCCCUCACCUAGUCUCGUUUUAAGGUACAG
Molecule: long non-coding RNA, 1096 nt
Filed under: Felis catus (domestic cat)
Lineage: Eukaryota; Metazoa; Chordata; Mammalia; Carnivora; Felidae
Description: lncRNA (ENSFCAG00000047780.1)
Source: RNAcentral